This is a long non-coding RNA of Girardinichthys multiradiatus, 1105 nucleotides long. RefSeq lists it as uncharacterized. NCBI's taxonomy places the organism in Eukaryota, Metazoa, Chordata, Actinopteri, Cyprinodontiformes, Goodeidae. The transcript has 4 exons. The record is from RefSeq and is a predicted model, not a curated record.
GCCAUUGCUGACUCUACAGGUGUUCCUGAUUUUUGGCUGAUUGUGCAUACCUGGGAGGAGUAUUUAGGAGCCUGCCACCAGUCCUUUGUUGCCUGAGUGUUUUUGCCCAUGUGUACCUGUGAGGUGUGGGAGUUUUCCUCUCUACCUGGACUUGGACAUCCAGCACCUCUUACUACAGUUUGUGAACUUUGGAUUAUUCUCCACUGGACUGUGGUUUGCUUCCUAAACUUCCCAAGCUCCUACCUCUGUGUGGAUUCAGACCUGCUGGUGACAUUUCUUGUUGGACAAGUAUUCUGGAUUGCCUGACUCCCAAGCCCUGUGGUAUGAUUUCCCUGAUGUAUUUCUGCCCAGUGAACAAAAGAACAGUGAAGUCUGAAGAACCUGCCGACCAUUGCCUACUUGUUUUCCAGUGGAACUUUAAACAUUGUUUGUAAAUAACCCUUUGAACCUUUUGUGGUCUCCUGAGUGAGUUUGCAUGUGGGUCAAAUGAAUUCCUAAAGCGAUGACGCCAAGCCUCAAAGCCCUUGGAACUUUCAGCCCUGGCUCAAAGUCUCUGCUUUGCAUUGUGCCAAAGUUUUCAAGCUUCCAAGUAAUCUACCUGGAUCAAGUACUGGCUGACAGCUCUAAGCCUUCGUCCUCCUCCAAGCGAACCCUGCUCACAAUCCACAUCCAGCCUCCUGAAACCUCACAAGACUAAACAUCAGUUUCACUGCUCUCCCUGGCUUCACAUCAUUCUCCCUCGUCUAACCUAAUCUUCAUCUCCAGUUUAAUCCACAAUCUCCAUCAUGCUGACACACUGAGGAACUUCUCUUGAUGACUUUUACCAGGAUGAUGGCGCCCUCUAGUGUUGAAGAAGAGUUUGUUAACAUGAAACCCAACCUGUAACCCUGAUGCUGCUCAGUGACAGGAGAAAUGAUGAGCUUCACUUCUUUAGCUGUUUUUCCUUGGAAUGAGAGACGGAGGAACAUGAUCUUUAUCUCACUGAUCAAAAACAACCUAAUCUCUUUGUAAUUAACAUGUUUUAUUUCAACAAAGCCAGAAAGAAACACAUAUUUUCUGCUAUGUUCUGUACAUUAAAACAAUUUUCUGAUGGUUCAGACUAUUA